This 301-nucleotide ribosomal RNA is filed under the name uncultured bacterium. RNAcentral's name for it is "partial 16S ribosomal RNA". It matches the Rfam family "Bacterial small subunit ribosomal RNA", at positions 509 to 807 of the family's 1533-position model. The record is from RNAcentral.
CAGCAGCCGCGGGAAUACGAAGGGUGCAAGCGUUACUCGGAAUUACUGGGCGUAAAGCGUGCGUAGGUGGUGGUUUAAGUCCGUUGUGAAAGCCCUGGGCUCAACCUGGGAAUUGCAGUGGAUACUGGGUCACUAGAGUGUGGUAGAGGAUAGUGGAAUUUCCGGUGUAGCAGUGAAAUGCGUAGAGAUCGGAAGGAACAUCUGUGGCGAAGGCGACUAUCUGGGCCAACACUGACACUGAGGCACGAAAGCGUGGGGAGCAAACAGGAUUAGAUGCCCCGGUAGUCCCUGUCUCUUAUAC